Molecule: ribosomal RNA, 439 nt
Filed under: uncultured bacterium
Lineage: Bacteria
Description: partial 16S ribosomal RNA
Rfam family: Bacterial small subunit ribosomal RNA
Source: RNAcentral
CUACGGGGUGCUGCAGUGAGGAAUAUUGGACAAUGGAGGAAACUCUGAUCCAGCCAUGCCGCGUGAGUGAAGAAGGCCUUAGGGUUGUAAAGCUCUUUCAAUGGCGAAGAUAAUGACGGUAGUCAUAGAAGAAGCUCCGGCUAAAUUCGUGCCAGCAGCCGCGGUAAUACGAAUGGAGCAAGCGUUGUUCGGAAUCACUGGGCUUAAAGCGUGCGUAGGCGGACAUGAAAGUCAGAAGUGAAAUCCCUGGGCUUAACCCAGGAACUGCUUUUGAAACUCCAUGUCUUGAAUCCGGUAGAGGUCAGGAGAAUUCCUAGUGUAGAGGUGAAAUUCGCAGAUAUUAGGAGGAAUACCAGUGGCGUAGGCGCCUGACUGGGCCGGUAUUGACGCUGAGGCACGAAAGCGUGGGGAGCAAACAGGAUUAGAUACCCGGGUAGUC